Molecule: long non-coding RNA, 379 nt
Filed under: Gossypium barbadense (sea-island cotton)
Lineage: Eukaryota; Viridiplantae; Streptophyta; Magnoliopsida; Malvales; Malvaceae
Description: long non-coding RNA (GBAR_LNC012721)
Source: RNAcentral
CUGAUAAUGUCACAUUAAACACUUCAUCAAUGCUUCAGUAUCAAGUGAUACUAUUUUUCUUCUCACUAUAUCUGGUGGCAUUCGGACAAGGUGGGCACAAACCAUGCGUUCAAGCAUUUGGUGCUGAUCAAUUUGAUGCAGAACAUCCUGUGGAGUGCAAAGCCAAGAGUUCAGUCUUUAAUUGGUGGUACUUUAGUAUUGCUGCUGGUAUCUUACUGACGCUUUUGAUUUUAAACUACAUCCAGGAAAAUCUUAGUUGGGUUCUUGGAUUUGCAAUACCUGCUAUUGUGAUGGCUGUUGGACUGCUUGUUUUUCUGCUUGGAACAAUGACUUACAGGUUUAGUGUCGAAGGGGAUAAAGAAAGCCCAUUUGUGAGGAU